This 497-nucleotide ribosomal RNA is filed under the name uncultured bacterium. RNAcentral describes it as "partial 16S ribosomal RNA". It matches the Rfam family "Bacterial small subunit ribosomal RNA", at positions 28 to 507 of the family's 1533-position model. The record is from RNAcentral.
GAUGAACGCUGGCGGCGUGCCUAAUACAUGCAAGUCGAGCGAACGGACGAGAAGCUUGCUUCUCUGAUGUUAGCGGCGGACGGGUGAGUAACACGUGGAUAACCUACCUAUAAGACUGGGAUAACUUCGGGAAACCGGAGCUAAUACCGGAUAAUAUUUUGAACCGCAUGGUUCAAAAGUGAAAGACGGUCUUGCUGUCACUUAUAGAUGGAUCCGCGCUGCAUUAGCUAGUUGGUAAGGUAACGGCUUACCAAGGCAACGAUGCAUAGCCGACCUGAGAGGGUGAUCGGCCACACCGGAACUGAGACCCGGUCCAGACUCCUACGGGAGGCAGCCGUAGGGAAUCUUCCGAAAUGGGCGGAAGCCUGAAGGAGCAAAGCCGCGUGAGGGAUGAAGGUCUUCGGAUCGGAAAACUCUGUUAUUAGGGAAGAACAUAUGUGUAAGUAACUGUGAACAUCUUGACGGUACCUAAUCAGAAAGCCACGGCUAACUACGUG